Molecule: ribosomal RNA, 486 nt
Filed under: uncultured Sphingobacteriales bacterium
Lineage: Bacteria; Pseudomonadati; Bacteroidota; Sphingobacteriia; Sphingobacteriales
Description: bacterial SSU rRNA
Rfam family: Bacterial small subunit ribosomal RNA
Source: RNAcentral
CUACGAAAGUAAGUUGACGGGGCCCGCACAAGCGGAGGAACAUUGUUGGUUUAAUUCGAUGAUACGCGAGGAACCUUACUGGGCUUAAAUGUAGAGUGCAUUUUUUUAGAGAUAGAAAUUCCCUUCGGGGCUUUUCUGCAAGGUGCUGCAUGGUUGUCGUCAGCUCGUGCCGUGAGGUGUCGGGUUAAGUCCCAUAACGAGCGCAACCCUUAUCGUUAGUUGCCAGCUGGUAAAGCAGGGGACUCUAGCGAAACUGCCACCGUAAGGUGAGAGGAAGGUGGGAUGACGUCAAAUCAGCACGGCCCUUAUGUCCAGGGCUACACACGUGUUACAAUGGCCGGCACAGAGGGCAGCUACCUGGUGACAGGAUGCUAAUCUCGAAAACCGGUCUCAGUUCGGAUCGAAGUCUGCAACUCGACUUCGUGAAGCUGGAUUCGCUAGUAAUCGCGCAUCAGCCAUGGCGCGGUGAAUACGUUCCCGGGCCUU